ACAUUGAAUAAGACAAGUGGCCUUCUCUCCUCUGUGGGGAGCAUCAGAUUUGUAAAAGUGGGUGUUGGGAGGCUUUUUUGUCUUGGUGAGACUUUCAGCCUCAGAGACCAGCUGUUUUGGUGCUGUCAGCCUCAUUCCCUCCAGUCCAUCUCUUCUGGGACAGAUGAACUCCCAUGAAGGACUUCAGGUGGAUUAGCAUAUCAGAGGACAGCUGGAACUGUUCAGGUUGAUGCUUCCAGUGAAGUAGUUCUUUCGCAGAACAUGUCGCAGUCAGUCGAUGCAGAAUCCUUACAGCAACAGCCUUACUUCAAUCAUUGCCCCCCAGCCCCCUCGCCAAACACGGACGGGGUGGGGAAGUGAAGCAGAAGUAAAACAGGACAAAAUCCAGAUGUCAGGGGAUAAGGCAGAGCAUGUGACCAAUUGCAUAAUGGGUGUGGUUUAACUAAAUGCAAGAGUGUUGAAAUAUCUCUUAUGUCAAGAUUUUGACUUCUCUACAGAUAUAGCUGCUCUAAUUUCUAUGGCCGCAGUACAUCCAACCGGCCUCACAACCGCAGACCACGUGUAACCACACCAGCCCAGGACCUCCACAUCCAGCAUGUUCACCUCCAAGAUUGUCUGAGACCAUCCACAAGGACAGCUGCUGCAACAAUCGGUUUGCAUAACCAAAGAAUUUCUGCACAAACUGUCCGAAACCAUCUCAGGGGAAGCUCAUCUACAUGCUCGUCGUCCUCAUCGGGGUCUCGACCUGACUGCAGUUCAUCGUCGUAACUGACUCGAGUGGGCGAAUGCUCACAUUCGAUGGCAUCUGGCACGUUGGAGAGGUGUUCUCUUCACGGAUAAAUCCCGGUUUUCACUGUUCAGGGCAGAUGGCAGACAGCAUGUGUGGCGACGUGUGGGUGAGCGGUUUGCUGUCAACGUUGUGGAUCGAGUGGCCCAUGGUGGGGUUAUGGUAUGGGCAGGCGUAUGUUAUGGACAACGAACACAGGUGUAUUUUAUUGAUGGCAUUUUGAAUGCACAGAGAUACCGUGAUGAGAUCCUGAUGCCCAUUGUUGUGACAUUCAUCCAUGACCACCUCAUGUUGCUACAUGAUAAUGCACGGCCACAUGUUGCAAGGAUCGGUGCACGAUUCCCGGAAGCUGAAAACAUCCCAGUUCUUGCAUGGCCAGCAUACUCCCCGGACAUGUAACCCAUUGAGCAUGUUUGGGAUGCUCUGGAUCGGCGUAUACGACAGCGUGUUCCAGUUCCUGCCAAUAUCCAGCAACUUCGCACAGCCAUUGAAGAGGAGUAGACCAACUUUCCACAGGCCACAAUCAACAACUUGAUCAACCAUGCGAAGGAGAUGUGUUGCACUGCGUGAGGCAAAUGGUGGUCACACCAGAUACUGACUGGUUUUCUGACCCCCACAAUAAAGCAAAACUGCACAUUUCAGAGUGGCCUUUUAUUGUGGCCAGCCUAAGGCACACCUGUGCAAUAAUCAUGCUGUCUAAUCAGCAUCUCGAUAUGUCACACCUGUGAGGUGGGAUGGAUUAUCUCGACAAAGGAGAAAUGCUCACUAAAACAGAUUUAGACAGACUUUGAAGGAAAUGGCCUUUUGUGUAUGUAGAAAAGUUUUAGAUCCUUGAGUCCAGCUCACGA
Phyllopteryx taeniolatus (common seadragon) is the source of this 1635-nucleotide long non-coding RNA. RefSeq lists it as uncharacterized. The record is from RefSeq and is a predicted model, not a curated record. The transcript has 3 exons. NCBI's taxonomy places the organism in Eukaryota, Metazoa, Chordata, Actinopteri, Syngnathiformes, Syngnathidae.